GCCAGGUUCAACUGUGAGAGGUGCGGAAAAAUGUUCCGAUCUUAUCAAGCUCUUGGUGGGCACAGAGUAUACUGCAAAAGAGACAAUGAUGGUGAUUUAAUAGAUCAGAAACCUUUUCACUGCCCAAAUUGCAACAAAGUGUUCAAGUCUGCUCAGGCACUCGGUGGACACAAGAGGGUACACUCUUCCCGUGCUAAUGAAUUUCAAAGUGUGCAACACCCGUAUUGAAUUUUCAAGUCCCCAAUGAUGAUCCUCGAAUUCUCAAAAAGCAAUUGUAGAGAUAGGGAAUUUACAGACUUCAUUUGUGAUUCUGUACACAGUUUUUAACUGUGUUCAGUUCUGAAUGUUCUGAACAAUAAUUCAUUUCAAUCAUUUGGGUUUAUAUUUAUGUAAGAGGAUCUUUUUAAUU
RNAcentral lists this long non-coding RNA (409 nucleotides) under Medicago truncatula (barrel medic). Its description in RNAcentral is "lncRNA gene22018". Lineage: Eukaryota; Viridiplantae; Streptophyta; Magnoliopsida; Fabales; Fabaceae. The record is from RNAcentral.